This 923-nucleotide unclassified non-coding RNA is filed under the name Hevea brasiliensis (rubber tree). The record is from RNAcentral. Lineage: Eukaryota; Viridiplantae; Streptophyta; Magnoliopsida; Malpighiales; Euphorbiaceae.
AAAAAGAAAAAGGAGCUCAGGAAAGACUAGUUGAACCUUUGAUGAGUCUCGUCAAGUCUUAUGAGGGUGGAAGAGAGAGUCAUGCCCGUGGUAUUGUCCAUUCCCUUUUUCAGGAGUAUCUAUCGGUUGAAGAAUUGUUUAGUGACAAUCUCCAGGCUGAUGUGAUUGAAAGACUCCGGCUUCAAUAUAAGAAAGAUCUCCUGAAGGUUCUCGACAUAGUGCUUUCUCAUCAGGGUGUUAAACGUAAAAAUAAGCUUAUACUUAGUCUGAUGGAGCAACUGGUAUAUCCCAAUCCUGCAGCAUACAGGGAAAAACUUAUUCGUUUCUCACAACUCAACCAUACAAAUUAUUCCGAGUUGGCACUGAAGGCCAGUCAACUCCUUGAACAAACUAAACUGAGUGAAUUACGUUCAAGUAUUGCCAGAAGUCUUUCUGAGUUAGAGAUGUUCACUGAAGAAGGUGACACUAUGGAUACUCCUAAGCGGAAAAGUGCCAUUAAUGAAAGAAUGGAAGCUCUAGUGAGUGCUCCUUUAGCAGUCGAAGAUGCACUUGUAGGCCUUUUCGAUCACGGUGAUCACACCCUUCAGAGGCGAGUUGUGGAGACCUAUGUUCGUAGACUCUAUCAGCCUUACCUCGUUCAAGGGAGUGUGAGGAUGCAGUGGCACAGAUCUGGACUAAUAGCUACAUGGCAAUUUUUGGAAGAGCAUGUUGAGAGAAAGAGUGGUUCUGGAGACAAUGUGAUGGUAAAACCGUUAGUUGAGAAACACAGUGAGAAAAAAUGGGGAGCCAUGGUUAUUAUCAAAUCUCUCCAGCUCCUGCCAACAGUACUAACUGCUGCAUUGAGGGAGACAGCACAUGGCUUGCAUGCCGAGAUGGCAAAUGGAUCCACUCCACCAGUCAGUCAUGGUAAUAUGCUGCACAUU